This 266-nucleotide ribosomal RNA is filed under the name uncultured bacterium. RNAcentral's name for it is "partial 16S ribosomal RNA". It matches the Rfam family "Bacterial small subunit ribosomal RNA", at positions 793 to 1055 of the family's 1533-position model. The record is from RNAcentral.
GUCCACGCCGUAAACGAUGGGCACUAGGUGCUUGGGGGAGCGACCCCCCGAGUGCCGGCGCUAACGCAUUAAGUGCCCCGCCUGGGGAGUACGGCCGCAAGGCUGAAACUCAAAGGAAUUGACGGGGGCCCGCACAAGCGGUGGAGCAUGUGGUUUAAUUCGACGCAACGCGAAGAACCUUACCUGGGCUUGACAUGUACGGGAAAGCCUCUGGAAACAGGGGGCCCCUCUUCGGAGCUCGUGCACAGGUGCUGCAUGGCUGUCGU